RNAcentral lists this ribosomal RNA (633 nucleotides) under Psychrobacter sp. FN4. RNAcentral's name for it is "bacterial SSU rRNA". It matches the Rfam family "Bacterial small subunit ribosomal RNA", at positions 94 to 731 of the family's 1533-position model. Lineage: Bacteria; Pseudomonadati; Pseudomonadota; Gammaproteobacteria; Moraxellales; Moraxellaceae. The record is from RNAcentral.
AGCGGCGGACGGGUGAGUAAUACUUAGGAAUCUACCUAGUAGUGGGGGAUAGCACGGGGAAACUCGUAUUAAUACCGCAUACGACCUACGGGAGAAAGGGGGCAGUUUACUGCUCUCGCUAUUAGAUGAGCCUAAGUCGGAUUAGCUAGAUGGUGGGGUAAAGGCCUACCAUGGCGACGAUCUGUAGCUGGUCUGAGAGGAUGAUCAGCCACACCGGGACUGAGACACGGCCCGGACUCCUACGGGAGGCAGCAGUGGGGAAUAUUGGACAAUGGGGGAAACCCUGAUCCAGCCAUGCCGCGUGUGUGAAGAAGGCCUUUUGGUUGUAAAGCACUUUAAGCAGUGAAGAAGACUCCAUGGUUAAUACCCAUGGACGAUGACAUUAGCUGCAGAAUAAGCACCGGCUAACUCUGUGCCAGCAGCCGCGGUAAUACAGAGGGUGCAAGCGUUAAUCGGAAUUACUGGGCGUAAAGGGAGCGUAGUGGCUCUAUAAGUCAGAUGUGAAAUCCCCGGGCUUAACCUGGGAACUGCAUCUGAAACUGUAGAGCUAGAGUAUGUGAGAGGAAGGUAGAAUUCCAGGUGUAGCGGUGAAAUGCGUAAGAUCUGGAGGAAUACCGAUGGCAAAGCCUUCUG